Molecule: ribosomal RNA, 437 nt
Filed under: uncultured bacterium
Lineage: Bacteria
Description: bacterial SSU rRNA
Rfam family: Bacterial small subunit ribosomal RNA
Source: RNAcentral
UGAGGAAUAUUGGUCAAUGGGCGAGAGCCUGAACCAGCCAAGUCGCGUGAGGGAUGACGGCCCUACGGGUUGUAAACCUCUUUUGCCGGGGAGCAAUGCUCCGCACGAGUGCGGAGCGGGAGAGUACCCGGAGAAAAAGCAUCGGCUAACUCCGUGCCAGCAGCCGCGGUAAUACGGAGGAUGCGAGCGUUAUCCGGAUUUAUUGGGUUUAAAGGGUGCGUAGGCGGAACGCCAAGUCAGCGGUAAAAAAGUUCGGGGCUCAACCCGCUCGUGCGUCGUAAAACUGGUGUCCUUGAGUGGGCGAGAAGUAUGCGGAAUGCGUGGUGUAGCGGUGAAAUGCAUAGAUAUCACGCAGAACUCCGAUUGCGAAGGCAGCAUACCGGCGCCGCACUGACGCUGAAGCACGAAAGCGUGGGUAUCGAACAGGAUUAGAUACC